UGAAACCUCUUUCUUUUGUAAAUUGCCCAGUCUUGGGUAUGUCUUUAUCAGCAGCAUGAAAAUGGACUAAUCCAGAAGGCAUGGAUAUGCAAACUUUCACUUUUGUUCUUUACUUGAGUGUCAGGAAAAUAUGAUGUUGUGGAUGGAUAGAAGACAAGAGAGAUGAAGAUUUGUGUCACCAUAGUAAAAAUUCUAGAAGGCUAUGGUGUCUCAUAUUGGUCUCAGAAUUCUAAAUCAAAUAAAGCACUAAAACAAAUGUAUUAAACACUCAGAAACCUAAAUUUUAGCUGCUUCCUAAGAUUGUGAACAGUGUUUUCUCAUGAUCUUCCUGAAAGCAAUUGACAAUGCGUUACAUUCAACUUGAAGAAAUAAGUAUUUUCUUCCCUUAAAAAAUUUACCAAUUUAAUUAUCAUCCAAGGUCUCGAACUCAUGAACUCAAGCCAUCUGCUCGCCUCAGCCUCCCAAAGUGCUGGGAUUACAGGUGUGAGCCACUGUGCCUGGCCUAUAGCAUGACUUUUAUACCUCUCAGAGUCCUCUCAUAGAGUUUAUCAAGCAUAGUAGGACUACAGCAGCUACCUAAUGGGUGGAAUACAACCCUGACUUACUGAAAUGGAACUGAAGUCAUUGGCGGAAAGGAGGACACAGGAGUCAAAGCAAGAGCAUGACUAGUGCAAACCUCAUCUUACACUGGUUUUGAAAAUGGGAACAAAUGAAACAAACCCAGUUGAAGAGUAUAAAAGGAUAAGUUAUUUUUAAUUCUCUAAAUAAUCAUUUUAUCUGGAUAUCCAAUAGACACAGGCUAGGAAAAUUUGAUAGAGUGCACAUAUAUUUCUAUACACACAGUCUAUAUACACACAUAUAUUUCUGUAUACAUUUAUAUAAAACAAAUUGUAUAUUUAAUUCUACAUAUAAUAAAUAUUUGGGGAUCAUUUUACAUAUACCAUUUAGAAUAAAGAGAAUUUAUACCUAUUAAUAUUUCUCUCCAAACUUCUUUGAGACCACUAAAGUAAUAUUUAAUUAACCUAACUAAAAAUCAGACAAUUCAAGUUCUUAGAGCUACUGCUCUGAGAAUAUUGGAGAAUUCUCAGAGUCAUUUAUUGAACUGUAUAGAUUUUUUCUUGGCACUUUCUGGUUUUGUACCUGUACUGUACUCUAAAUAAGAACACACCACACAUUUCAGCUAAUGGGAGUAAAAAUUGCUCUUUAGGGCUUGUCCUUCCCAUUCUCCUUGUAUCCGACACUCAAGCCUUGGCUCGCAAGCACAAUGACCUAAUCCAGAAGAAGCUCGUUAAGCAGAGCAGAUUGAUCUCUCUUUGGUCUGCCGCUUCAUGGUUUUUUACAACCACAGUGGGUUGUUGGACCGGUUCUACAAUCCCUUGUGGCAUAAAGAGAUCAAUCAUUUGGUUUCAAGAUUUUUCUUAAUCGCAAGCCUAAUGGAAAGCUAGAACACAAAUUCUCAGCUAAUGCAAAUAAAUCUGGGUGAUUUACUUUCACUAAAAUAUUAGUCACUAAUGAAGAAUUUCUUGCAUCUAAAUUCAAAUAUGCAAAUGUAUGCCAAAAGUUUGGAAAUGUAUAAUAUACGUGCAUAUGUCUCUGUAUCUCCACAAGAGUGAAAAAGAAAUAAUUGUUUGAUCUGAUUCUGAAAAGACUGACUACGGUGAGCUCAGAAGUAACCAGUCUCAUAGCUGUUUCAUUUUUCAGAAUAUUACUUAAUGUAUUGCAAUAUUCUGUUAUUUUAGUUCAUUUGUGCUGUUAUAACAAAAUACCAGAGGCUUGGUAGCUUAAACAAAGGCAGCUUAUUUCUUAGUUCUAGAGGCUAGAAAGUCCAAGAUCAAGGUACCAGCAGAUUCCAUUUUCCAUGAGGGCCCAUUUUAUUAUGGCUCAUGGAAUAAGGUCUUCCAGCUGUGUCUGGAUUCCUUCCAUGCGAUUCCAUGGAAUAGGGU
This 1943-nucleotide long non-coding RNA is filed under the name Homo sapiens (human). Its description in RNAcentral is "HSALNT0306114". Lineage: Eukaryota; Metazoa; Chordata; Mammalia; Primates; Hominidae. The record is from RNAcentral.